GAUGAACGCUGGCGGCGUGCCUAAUACAUGCAAGUCGAGCGAACAGACGAGGAGCUUGCUCCUCUGACGUUAGCGGCGGACGGGUGAGUAACACGUGGAUAACCUACCUAUAAGACUGGGAUAACUUCGGGAAACCGGAGCUAAUACCGGAUAAUAUAUUGAACCGCAUGGUUCAAUAGUGAAAGACGGUUUUGCUGUCACUUAUAGAUGGAUCCGCGCCGCAUUAGCUAGUUGGUAAGGUAACGGCUUACCAAGGCAACGAUGCGUAGCCGACCUGAGAGGGUGAUCGGCCACACUGGAACUGAGACACGGAACAGACUCCUACGGGAGGCAGCAGUAGGGAAUGUUCCGCAAUGGGCGAAAGCAUGACGGAGCAACGCCGCGUGAGUGAUGAAGGUCUUCGGAUCGUAAAAAUCUGUUAUUAGGGAAGAACAAAUGUGUAAGUAACUAUGCACGUCUUGACGGUACCUAAUCAGAAAGCCACGGCUAACUACGUG
Molecule: ribosomal RNA, 497 nt
Filed under: uncultured bacterium
Lineage: Bacteria
Description: partial 16S ribosomal RNA
Rfam family: Bacterial small subunit ribosomal RNA
Source: RNAcentral